CUUAAGAGUGUCUCAUAAAAAUUUUGUAUUAAAGCGAUAAAUUUUCAAUUUGUUAAAAAUCAUAGAGUGAGGGCUGUUUGAACUAUUUGUUCUAGUUUUCUUUCUUUGAUUAGUGCAUAGGAGGAGUUUAUACUUGGUUGGUCAGUGUCAAUCAUGUCUAAUAGUGAUAUAUGAUUUCAAAUCUAGCUACGUAAGUGUGCAUACUGUGAUAUUGUGUUUUAAUUGAUAUUGGUCCUGUACUUAUUGGUUUAUUGAGUUG
Molecule: long non-coding RNA, 259 nt
Filed under: Daucus carota (carrot)
Lineage: Eukaryota; Viridiplantae; Streptophyta; Magnoliopsida; Apiales; Apiaceae
Description: long non-coding RNA (DCAR_LNC006773)
Source: RNAcentral